This is a non-coding RNA of Myotis davidii, 75 nucleotides long. The record is from Rfam. Lineage: Eukaryota; Metazoa; Chordata; Mammalia; Chiroptera; Vespertilionidae.
AAAGGUUCUCGGGUGCAGCACCCCAGAAUCGGGCUCCCUCCUCUCUGAUUCUAAGUGUGUCACCCAAGAACCACA